Long non-coding RNA from Mustela lutreola (European mink), 3070 nucleotides. RefSeq lists it as uncharacterized. The record is from RefSeq and is a predicted model, not a curated record. The transcript has 5 exons. Lineage: Eukaryota; Metazoa; Chordata; Mammalia; Carnivora; Mustelidae.
UGGAAUGCUGCAUGACCGCCGGGGCGGGUCGUCACCGGGCACGUUAACCCGGGUAGAAUGCGUUGUGGAGUGUCACCUGGCUCCAGGGACCGAAGAGGGAAGGAGACCCCAGAUCUGUUCAGGGAGCUAGGAGCGGCAGAACCCCUGCCAGGGAUUCUGCGUUUUCCAUCGAGGACAGGAAAAGCUCAGUUUGCUGAGAGGACCAGAUCUCUGGUAAAUGAGUGUGAGAAAGAGCCAUGGCAGGGGUCCCCCAGCAUCCGUGACAUCAGAUAGCAGUUAUUCUUCCAAGAUGCACCCCGGCCCGUGCCCUGGAGGGCAGAGUCCUGCUCAGCAGCCCGGCUGAGCUUAAAGAAACCAGAUGGGCUUUCGGAAAACCGGAAGUUGCUUCGUGGGUGCAGAGUUUCAGCUGGGAAAGAAGAGAAUGCUCUCGAGUUGGGUGGUGGUGACGGUUGCACGACAGGGUGACUGCGCUUCAUGCUGCCCAACUGUAUGCGUAAAGUGGGUCAGAAUGAGCCAAAGAGCAGUGAGGACGAAUCUCACACAGUAAUGUGGCCCCACCAAAGCCGGACACAAAGGAGUAAUGCUGUGCGAUUCCAUUUAGGUGAAGUUCAAAAGCAGAGGCACAUUCCUUUGCUGAAGAUUCAACAAACUGGACUGCAGGACAUGUGGACACAGAAACCUUCCCUCUCCUCGGAAACAUUUAAUGGGUUGGAGGCAGAGGGUUCAGAAGGCCACGAAGCUUCAUAAACCCUUCAUGGGUUCCUAAAGCCGCCAUUCUUCUUCCCUGGCUUGGGUGUACUUCCUGGGGCUUAGGCCUGUAUGCCUCUGGGAACCUGGAGCUGAGCUUUUGGGGGCAGACUAGGGGACAGUGAAUCCACCAGCCAGCAGUCUCUGAAAAUGUCCUCUCCGUCUCCUCCAUCCUGUGAGGUUGACGCCCAAGCACCGUGCCUCCUGGGGCUUUCAUCAAGCAACAAUUGUGACUUGCAGAAAGGUUUGCCCACCUGGAAAUGUAAGGGAGGUCUCUGAAAUGCUCCACAUCCGGCCUGCUGUCAGGUAGAAAUUGAGCGGCAUGCUCUAGGCCUGGGCAAGGGGCUGGGAGACCCACUCCAGGUGUCCAGGGCAUGCUCUUUCAGUGCAAGGCCAAGUUCCCAUCCCAGAGUUCCUGUUGGGGCUUGACCCUGAUGCUCCCCCACUCUGAGUUGUGAGGUGGGGUGGGGAGACUGCUGACAUCACCAUCAGCUGUCCCCCCGCAGCUCCCCCUACCCCAGAGUGGCCAGUAUAGUCUCUGUGGCAGCAAAGUCUGGUGUUCUUGGGCCACAAUGCUGCCUCAGAGGUGCCCCGAGAUCUCCUGCUUGAAUCCCCUCCCAUUCAUGGAAGAAAACACAGGCCCAAGGAGGGGGCGUGACAAUGUCCCCCUGCCACACAGCCGGACUGUCACUAAUAUUAGAACUUGCAUUUCUGGAGUCACAUGGCUUCCUGUCUCUUUGGAGAUUCACAAAGGGCACAGUCCCAGGGAGUGGCACCAUCAGGUCUUAGCAGAACCUGGGGGCUUGUCCAGAGACCCUGGCUGGGACAGGGAAGGGUGCUGAGGACGGUGGCUCAUGGGGAGACACAGGCUCCCUGGAAAAGCCGCAGGUACUCUGCAGGUCUGCCCAUCGGCUGCCAAGUGACACUGUGAGCCCAGAGGUGGCCAAUCUUAAGUUGCAGCCAUAUAAGUCAAAUUGCAUGAGAACCUUCCAAAGUGUUAAAUAGCAGACGCUGUUAUCAAGCAGCUUUUGCUAGUUUAUGCUGGCUAAGGAAGAACCCCAAACUCUCAGUGACCCACAGCAACACUGAUUCCUGCAUUGUUCGUGGUCCACGUGGACUGCGGGUCUGGGGCUCCUGGGCUCCCUGCUCAGGUUAGCUGAGCCUCUGUCCACAUGACUUCUUUACUCUGGGAUCCAGGCUGAAGAGGCCGCUUUCAUCUGGGACCUGCCAUUCUUAGAGCAAAGGAAAAGGAACAGUGACUAAACCUUGUAUCUGAGAUGAUGAGCGCCUCUGACUUCUUCACCCUGGAUUGGCCAAAGCAAAGCCCAUAGCCAAGUCCAAGAUCAAUGGCGAAGAGGGCACACUUCCAAGGGCAGGAGCACUGAGGAGUUGGGAAUCAUAUCACUCCACACAGAGGCUAAUAUACUAUUACUUUGGAAAGACCUGACAAUCAAAUACAAGCAUCUCGGGGCCAGAUUAGAGCCUCGGGAGGCCACCAGGUGCUGCUGGUGUGGAAGACGGACUUGGAGUCGGAGAAGUACACUCAAGUCCAGCGCAGCUGCCUGACUCACUUUGCAACCGGACCAGGUGCAUGGACCUCCUGGGCCGCAGUCUCCUCACACUUGUAAGACAGGGGUGAGAAUACCAACCUCCUGGAUGAUCACAGAGCCCUGGGCACAGCGCCCGCCCCGAGCCGACUUUGGGGUACGGACGUGGGCCAGAAGGCUGGAGAGGAGCCCUUGAGUUCAUUGACUGCAAAGAGCAGAGCCAUGUGGACACAGCAUGGCCGUUCCUCCAGAAGUUAAAUAUAGAACCGCCCUGUGACCGAGCAAUCCCACUUGUGGGUGUGUACCCAGAAGAGCUGAAAGCUGGCUCUUGCGCAGACACCCAUAUCCCCUUGUCCACAGCUGCAUCCCUGACCAUAGUCACCAGGGGAAACGAGCGAGGUGUGCAUCGACAUGUGAGUGGAUAAACAAAGCGUGGUCUACACAUGCGAUGGAAUACUAUCCAGCCUUAAGAAGGAAGGGAAUUCGGAUGUGUGCUGUCAUGUGUGGAUGAACCUUGGAGACCUCAUGCCCAGUGAAAUAAGCCAGACACAAAAGGCUGAUUUCACUUAGAUGAUUCCGUGGAGAGCAGGUGCCUGGUGUAGCCAAAUUUUUAGAGACAGAAAGUAGGAUGCUGGUUGCCUGGGACUGGGGGAGAAGGGAAUGGGGCGUUCGUGUUUAACAUGUACAGCCUUAGUUUGGGAUGAUGAAAAUGUUCUGGAGGCGGAUGGCGGUGACGGUUACGUAACAGUGAAUGUACUUAAUGCCACUGAACUUCA